CAUAGUGCUCAGUCUUCAGGUGUCCUCGGACUCGAUAGGGAAUCCCGUGAAAAUCGGGAGCGGACCCGCCGCCGUGACGUCCUGCCGAACCGUCUCCAUUCACGCCACUGGGCCUCGCCUGGGAAGGCGGAGACGGGAGGGACCAGCCGGAAGACCUGCCUGAAGCGAUCACAAGGA
Molecule: non-coding RNA, 177 nt
Filed under: Desulfovibrio desulfuricans
Lineage: Bacteria; Pseudomonadati; Thermodesulfobacteriota; Desulfovibrionia; Desulfovibrionales; Desulfovibrionaceae
Source: RNAcentral